Molecule: transfer RNA, 77 nt
Filed under: Candidatus Uhrbacteria bacterium RIFCSPHIGHO2_02_FULL_53_13
Lineage: Bacteria; Candidatus Uhriibacteriota
Also listed under: 2 other names
Description: tRNA-Arg
Rfam family: tRNA
About the family: Transfer RNA (tRNA) molecules are approximately 80 nucleotides in length.
Source: RNAcentral
GCACCCGUAGCUCAGCUGGAUAGAGCGUCAGCUUGCGGAGCUGAAGGCCGCACGUUCAAGUCGUGCCGGGUGCGCCA